AUAUAGUUUUUGUUCAUGAUAUCAACAUGUGCCCCUGGUGCAGAUCUUGGUGGUAGUAGAAAAUAUUCAAAUGAGAACUUUGAAGAGUGAACUGGGGAAAUGUUCCAUGUGAACAUCACUUGGACAUGGCUAGUUAGUCGAUCCUAAGAGAUGGGGAAUCCGUGUAUCAAGGGUGUGCUCUGCAUAAACAUCGAAAGAGAAUUGGGUUAAUAUUCCUGAACCAGGACAUGGUGGUGGAAAACAAUGUUAGGAAAUCUGGAGAUGUCAUUGGGGGUCUAGGAAGAGUUAUCUUUUCUUUUUAACGCAUUUGACUCAUAACCACUACAAUUUUUAGAAUCCAAAACCCCUAAACCCUUGAAAAUUUAACCCUAAUCUUUAACACUUAUAACCCCAAGCAUGUGCAUUAACUAUUACAUCUAAUAUCCAUUAUUAGUACUAGUC
Non-coding RNA from Picea glauca (white spruce), 441 nucleotides. Lineage: Eukaryota; Viridiplantae; Streptophyta; Pinopsida; Pinales; Pinaceae. The record is from Rfam.